This 10977-nucleotide small RNA is filed under the name Caenorhabditis elegans. RNAcentral describes it as "Unclassified non-coding RNA F58E10.8". Lineage: Eukaryota; Metazoa; Nematoda; Chromadorea; Rhabditida; Rhabditidae. The record is from RNAcentral.
GUUAUGCAAACUGGAGUCAAUUGCCAGUCGGAGGAGUACUGAAUUGAUGAUUCCGAAUGAAAUGUUAGUUUUUUCUUUUGAAAAACUGCCGAAAAUGUUUAUUUUCAAGAUUUUUCUAAUUUUUAGCAUUUUAAAAUAAUAAAAAAUAUAAAUGUCUGUAUUUUCAGAUGUCACUCCUGCCGUUAAACACCUUAUCAGAGGCGGGCUGCCUAUUCAUCGAAGCCCGUCUUCUCGGUGGUCCAGGCAACAUCAUAUCACAGAUUGGGCUCACAGUUGAUGCUCCAAACACUUCUAUAGCGGUUUUCUGUAAGUUUUUUCUUUCUUUUUCCAUCAAAAUCUUCUUGAAACUGGAAACUAACUUUCUCCCAUCCACGAAUGGGGUCAAUGGAAAUGAGAAAUCGAAUAAAAGAGAAACAAUACUAGUUUCUUAUGUCUUUUCAUGCCUUUUCUGCGCAAGAAGAAGAAGCCAUGAGGUGUCGGGUUUCACACGAAAAAGAUAGGUCGACGAGCUUUUUUUGUUGGUUUCUUUUUUGGGAUAAAGCAGAAAUCGAAACUUCUAUGCAGAGAGAAAUAACAGGAAAAAAGGAACUCUUUCAAGAAAUUUCAUGCUCUCAAAAACGUAAAGGUUUUAAACUAGAAAUAUACAGUUUUAAAUAAUACAAGCUCCAAGAAAAAUGUUUUCCGCUUUUUUUUUGUUGCUUUUGUAGACUAAAACGGCCCAAAUUACUGAAUUUCAUAACGAGAACUUCUUAAAAAUUUAUAAAAAACAUAUCUAUGGUGGUUCAAAAUUUCGAAAAAAAACAACAUUUUUCUGAAAUUUCCAAUUUUGUCAAGAUUUCCAUGUAACAGUGGUCAAAAAUUAAUUUUUGUUCAAUUAUUUCUCUCUUUUGCAUUUUCAGUUUAUUGUAACUAAUGGUUAACUAUAAAAUUCCAAAAGCCGAGCAAAGCAAACUCGAAUUAAAUUAAAACAAAAUAAUUUCCUUUUCACCGCAAAAAUAAGUAGUCAAAAUGAGUGAUUUAAGCCAGUAAUUUCCUUUUAUAAAAAUUUUGGGCAGUUAGAAAAAUAUUUUUAAGAAAUUUACUCUUUAUGAACUCCGGUAAUUUUGGCUCAAUUCGAGUCUAUUUGAGCAAAAAAAAUCGAGAGACUGUUCUGGGAUUACUGUAGUUUGUAGCAAAAUGUUCAAUAAUUUUAAAUUUCAUUGGAAUCAGAACAAUUUCAUAUUCCUAGGACCCCUUUGUUAUUUCUGUUCUCCAUACUGACAUCAUAUUUAUCAGCUGUCAAAGGUCCAAUGGUGUAAUGGUGUCAGUUUCAACACGGGUCACUUAGUAGUCGACUCCGCCAUUUCUGCUCCUCUUGCUCUCUCGUUCCGCGUCCCAAAGUUGUGUUUUUCCGUUCCCUUUCUUUUCAAACUGCGUCUUGCAUCUUGUCCCGGCCAUCUGUUUAGUGUCAAUUCGGAUUUCGAAAUGAAAUGAGCCGAAGCGGUCCUUCUCGCUGCUCCAAAUUGAAAUAAAAGUGCGUUGUGCUUUGAAUGUUUCUGAAUCUUCUCUCUCACACUCGUCUACUCCAAUCAAAUGAGGAACCGUCAUGCUGUUUUCACAUGAUCUAGGAAAGCUUGUGGGGUAGAAGCUAAAUCAGAUGACGUCAGCUUUGUGCAACAUUUAUUGAAAAGACGCUUACCUACUCCCUUCCUUCCCCACGCAGAGCACAAGAGAAUAAUAAUGUGUGCAGCUCUCGUUUUUUUUUGUGUUGCUUCUCGCCAAAAAAUGCAGGAGGACUGAAGUGGAUUUGAAUUUUUGAUUUCGGAUUUUGGAUUUUCAUAGGAACUUCUGACUAGUAGACUACAAUAUAUCUGAAAAUUUUAAGCUACAGUAACCAGCUUGAAUACUUGUAGAAUGUAGAGAUUUAUAGAUUCAAAGAAUUUAAAAUUAUCUACAAUGUUCCCCGUUCUCCACUUUUCAUGAUAGACUCAUCGAUCAUAACCCACGAGUUGAAUGGACGAACCAUCUGGUUUACACGGCGCCACCUGCUCCCCUCUUCCUGUUUCACGAGAAGCUUGAGCACUCUCCCCAUCAUGACCUCUACGUGCAUUUCAUCGAGCUCUUCGUUGCAGUGUCAUCCACCCUACUCGUUCUCUCAGUUCGCUGUUUUUUUUCCAGUGAUAGUAUUGUGGCGGACCUGAUGUGUUUCGACAGAGUAAUUCGAGAGGCGAUGGAGAAACCGCCGAGUUGAGUGACGGCUCCCUGGAGAGAGUAGCGAAAUGCACCCAGAAUCUAAAAAGGAUUGGGAAGAGAAAGGAAGAAAGAAACGAUGAAUAGAUGAGCAAAAGAGAAACACUAUUGUCUCUCUCUCUCUCUGUGGUAUUUUCUCUCUAAACACCCCCAACAACACCAACGAGGUCCUUUUCUCAUCUUCUUCCGCUAUUCAUUGACAACAACUAUGUGCCACAUUUGACACUACUUGAAAAAAAGGGAAAGGGUGCCUUUUUGUCAAAUGUGCUAAAAGCAAUAACAUCCACAUAUUUUCCGUUCUACCUGACUCGAAAAGUCAGUGUUCUCACCCUCCGAUUUUCAAUUGUACGCCUCAUUUCGUCGAAGGUCAACUGGAUUGCGCGAAAAACAAGAGUCUGGACAUUUGUUACUUGAAAUGAGACGGGAAACAGGAAACAUGGGAAUUAAACAGAAAAAGUACCAUUUGAAAUGAAUUAAAGCUGGAGUAGUGUGAAUAGGGAUUUUGCUCCAAAAAUCAAAAGCGUCUUAAAUUCAUAAAUACCACAAGAGAAAAACGAAAAAAAAUCAAACUUCUAAAAACGAGAUUUUUGAAUUGCGACUAAACUCCCUAUUUGAAUGGUUCAAAAAUGCAUGUCGCUUCUCAUUUUGGAAGAAAUUUAAAAAAGAUAUUUCAGUCACAUAAAUAAAUAAAAAAUCGCAUUAUUAGAAGUUGGAUUUUUCGUUCUUGCUCAGUUUUUUUUGUUUUUCUUUUGUAGGUUUUAUGAGUUUGAAACAAUUUUGGAUUUUUUGAAGCAAAAUCCCUAUUUACAAAAAUUCUGAAACUCAAAAUAGUUGUCUCCAAAAAAAAAUCCCCGUCCUCCGACUAUAUCCUAGGAUCGUAUCCGGGAUUCUUGAAAACGGUGUUCUUGUUGGCCGAUUGUUUUCUCCGUAAACAACAACACUGAUAACAACAUACGAACAUGUGUCCGAGAGAGAGAAAAAGUGUUGGCAACAAAACAACAAUUGGUCAGUAGCUGUGUCUCUAGGUGUUUACAUAGAGUAUAUACCGUGUAUAGUUAUGCAUAUUAUGUUCUCUCCGUAAAACCGAUCCAUCCUCACCUCGCCUCGUCGCAACCCUUAUUAGUAAUACUUCUGCGCCAUUCACAGUUUCCGCGCGACACUGUGAUGCCGCUCUCAAUUUCGUACUUACUGCGUCUCUUCGUCUUUCUGAUCGUCGUCUAUGAUCGCUUUUCCACUGUUCUCUGUGUCUCACUUACACGCCCCCAUCUGCUUGAUUUUCACGGUCUGCGUCUAUCAUUCAAUCACAGUGUCUCUCUCGUGGGACGGGCGGGCGCCCUUGGGAGCUCAUCGAGAGAAGAAUCAUCUUCUUCACCUAUUCACCAAGUUUCAAAUUGAGAUUCUAAUUUUCAGCGUCUGAAAAUUCUGAAACUUCUGAAUUAGCUUUUACAGAGAAAUGGACGCCGCUGAAAUUGAAGUGGCGUUCAACAACUCUGAUAUUGUAUUUUCCCUAUUUUCACCUUUUUCACCAACUAGAGCUACAUUGAAAGGUAAGGAAAUCUGGCUAAAGUUCGAAAAUGUAAUGAGAUAUCUAGAUAUUUCCUGUAGAUUUUAUAAUAUUUCAUAGAGCCCUAACUCCUUUAUAAGCUAUUAGUGAUGCAAUCGGCUUCUUCCCAUCAUCAAGUAAGUGUUAGUAUGUACGAGAAAUGAGCAAACAAGCUGAGAAAAGUUUACAAGUGUAUGAGAGAGAAACAAACGGAUUUCCGAAGGAGGUUUUUUUUUUGCAAACCGCACGUUCAAGUGUCGAAGAUCUUCAAAGCUUUUUUUUGUUUGAGGGCGUAAUGAAAAAGUAAUGGUCAAAAUGGGAAACUCAAGUAGGGAGAUUUUCUGGAAGUCUAGUUUACAAAAGAUUCUGAUUCCAGAUUCAAACAUCAGAAACCGUAUUAUUAUUAUUAUUACAAUAUUUCAAUUUUUAAAACAAGUCCAAUGUUCGAAGCUCAUGGUCAGUACAAAAUCUCGCAUCACUCGAACUGUGACCGAUUACCGUAAUCCCCUUUAACCUACUAGAUCGUGCCAAUUUCAAUUUUUUCUGCAAAAAAUGAAAAUGCAACACACACUAUUAAAAACUGUUUCUCACUGAGGCAUUCCGAUUGAUAAAAUACACAUAUACGCAAUGUGGUUUUAUCAUCAGACGAGCAAAUAAGUUUUUGUGUGUGUGUGUGUGUGCUCUCACCGAAUGGGAGUACUAUUGAAAACUGUUGCUCCUUCUCCGAUUUCAAUAAGUUACGUGAUUUUGCGUGCGUUCGCACCUCAUCGAAUCCGUUAAUACGAUCAACUGUUAUCGCGGAAAUUCAUAUGGGAAAUUGCGCGUUUCUCGAUUAGGCACGUAAGAAAGAAGUAAUGAGAAAUGGCAGGAAUGGUUUUUGAUACCAAUAAGGGUUUGGAGGGUUACUGUAGAUUCAUAAUAUACAUCAGAUAAGAUUCACCAACUACAGUAACCUCGGCUUUUUAGGCCUAUUAUCGUUUGAUCUUUGAAAAUUGCGGUAAAUUUACACGCGACUUUUCUACUGGAAUCUCACAGUAUCGUAAUUCCGCGAAAUUUUUACAUGUCAGUUUAAAGGCACACAGUGUUUUCCGAGUGGGUCUCGCCACGGUAUUCCGAUUUAGAAUAUAAAGUUUAUGAAAUUUCAAAUACUGAAGUUCAAAGAAAAAUUCAGGGUUUAUUACAAAACAUGUAGCAUCUUGUGUCACAUUUCCGCGAACGGUAGAUAAUAAGGAAACUACAGUUACCAUGGCUGUUAUGAAAAUUCAAAUGUCUUUAUUGACAACAGACUUAAAUAAAAUUUGAAUAAACUAAAAAUGACGUCAUUGAUUUCCAAUUGAACUUUAAAGAUAUAAUAAUUUAUUCACAAACUACAAACUGUUUAGAUCUUUGAUAUGAAACAAUCUAUAAGACAACCUAUCCAUCUGAAAUAAAUAUUUUCAAAUUUCAGCUCGUACAAGUGGGGUUCUGCUCGUCGCCGGUGUAGGAUCAUUCUUCGCUUAUCGAGUUGCAUCGAAUCUUCUAGGAAAUCGAUUUGUAUGGGAAUGUAUGGAUGCGCGGCGAGUAGAUCAACUACCAACUGCAGAUCGUCGACUUCUCUAUUCAUUUGUAAGUUUUUUAUUCGAAAAUCUUCCUAUUAAUAGAGAUUGGAUAACCGAAUUAGUUUUGGGUGCGACACUGUCAUUUCUGAUUAGAAUAGUUGUUGAAUGAUUUUUGCAAAAAAAUGUUUCUCAAAGAACUUUCAAAUAUGGGUUUUGAACAUUUUUGGACUAUUAGAGAGUUAAAAAUUCAAAUUCCAGCAAAAUUUGAAACUAAAAAAAAAGAUUGCUGAUAGAUAUUAUUUUUGAAUUCUGAAAGGCUGAAAAAAUGCAAAAAAAUAUAAAAUAUUUUGAACGAAUUUUUGAAUUAUUAAAAAAAUUAAAAGGUCUGAAAUUUUUUUUUUCAAUUUCCGCGAAAAUAUCACUUUGUUUCAAAAGUUCUGAUUAUUGAUUUUGAUUUUUUCCCUUAAAAAGCUUGAAUGCAAAAUCUUUUAUUUUAACCCAAUUUUGAAGUUUCCGCAAAUUUCUAAAAAAAAACAAAAAAAAACCAAUAUAUUUUUUGGUUAGAAAACGCAAAAAAAUCUAGACACUAGGUCAUCAAUUUGCGCAGAAAUUCAAAAACAAUUCAGACCUAUCAAUUUUCUUCUUGAAAAAUGAAACAAAUCAACAAAAAAAUUUCAAAAUUUUUAAAAACUGUUAUAUUCGGUGAUUAUGGUCUAUUUUAUAUCUUUUAAAACAAAAUCUUUAAAUAUUUGUAUCCAAUUUGUUGCAACUAUUAAUAUAGAAGCCGGGAGCUCAUACACAUUUAAAAUCUAUUUAUCACUCAACUUUCCGGUGAUCUUCUCAUAAUUGAUGUGACACCUCUGUAAAUCUUUCCGGCCACCCGUCUUCUCCAGAAAAUAUUACACUAUACUUAACAACACAACCAACCAACAGAGUAUAAUUGAAUUGAAUCUCGUCAAAACUUUUGUGUUCAGGCCGCCGCGGAAGAGGAAGAUGCGGAAGAUGACGAAGACGCCGAGGUUGAUGCAGAACACGGUGGAAUACGGAGACGACGAACAGACAGUGAAGGAUCAAGAAUAUCUGUUGGACAGGUCAGUCAUGAGCAGCAGCACGAUUUCCGAGCGAAGAUCUCGUCGAAAAAAUGUUUAAUAGAAAAUCGAAAAAAAAAACAUCAAAUUGUGUUUUUGUUGAUAAGAAAACAUAAUUCACGAAAAAGAAAUGAAAAAAAUCCAAAACUUGAAGCUAUUUCUUAAAAAUCAGAUAUUUUUCGAAAUAUCGGGAAUCUAAAAAUCUUGAAAAAAAAACGAGAAUUUUCGAUUUUGCAAUUUUUUUCAGAAUUAGUCGAAAAAUCAGGACACGAACAUUUUUCAUCCUUCAAUAUUCCGGAAAAUCGAAAAUUUAAAAAAAAAUCAGUAAAAAAAAAUAUAGUAGCCUUUUCGGAAUUUUUUUUUGAAAUAUCGGAAAAUUUUUAAGAUACAAAAAUUUUUGAUUCUUUAUUCGAAAAAUCGUCACCAUUAUAUCUGAUCAAAGCGAUGUAAUAAAAAACGCAUAAACUUUAUCAUAAAAUGCGAUGUAAAUCGUAAAACGAUGAAAAGCGCGCUCGUUUCAAACAACAAUGACAUCGUAAAUCUUUUGGCCCAUAAACACACUAUACACCGAUGUUUCUAAAACAUACAAUUGUUUCAGGCUUCCCUCGGACGAUUAAAUCGAAUACGAAAGUCCACGAGGACCCCACGUGGAUUACUUGGAAGUCUUCAGGAAACGCCACGAAGACGGGCUGGAAUUGUUAGUCGACAGUCUUCUAGACAUUCGGUGGCUUCUGGUGAGAUUUAUGCUUGAAUAGAGAUGAAAAUUUAUAGAAAAAAACAGGAACCACCUUUUUUUUAACUGAUAAUAAAUCAUAAUAUUUUCAAAAAGAAUACUUGAAAUUUUCAGUAAUUUUGGUAACUAAAGGCAAGUUUUGCGAUUUUCGCAUAAAAAAUACGGUAUUUGGUCUCGACACGAAAAAUUUCUGGUUUAGAACAAAUGUGCGCCUUUAAAAAGUUAAAAUACUGUAAGUUCAAACUUUCGUUGAUGAGGAAUUUUUAUCGAUUUUUAAGAUUUAGAUUGUUGUUAAAAAUGUAUUAAUUAAUAGAAAAGAAGAAAAAUUAAAUUAAAAACACAAAAGGUUUCACAAAUCGUGAGAAAAACUUUAAAAAAAUCCAUGAAAAUUCCACAGCAACAAAAUUUUGACCUUAUUGUACUCCUUAAAGGCGCACACAUGUUUGUUUUUAUCGUAAAUGUCGUGUCGAGACCAGGUACCGUAUACUUUGAAGCGAAGUUUCGCAUCUGAGUGUGAAAAGAUGCGUUUAUUUAUCAAAAUUGCAUAAAAUUUAAAUAAAGACAAUUAUCAAAUUUCUGAAAUUCUUUUAGAAACCUAAAAAUGUUUUUUUUCUCUUUUUUUUUUAGAAAAUUACUUGUUUUCGCUCUCUUUCUCAUAAACUAAUGGGGUUAUUCAAGUAAUGUAGCAAAAUGUAUUUUAAUACAUUUGUGACGUCACAAAGGUAUUUAAAUACAUGUUUUUAUGUAUUUUAAUACAGUUGUGAUGUAAUUUUUCUACACUUUUUAAUUUUCCAACACUACUUGAAUAACCCCAUAACAGAAUAUGAUAAAUAUAGAUUUUUUUAAUUUUAGAAAACCAGUUAUUUAGGUUUUUAUCUGUAUCGAGUAUUCAAAUUAUUCGAAAUAUUAAUUCUAAAGUUAUAUUCUCUACAAUAUUUUUUCGAAUAAUUUGAAAUUUAAUUCCCUCUUAAAUUUCUUAAAUUAAAUUUCAGGUCACUCGUUAGCUUCAAUUCCAUUUUCCUCGAACUCCUCUGUCAAAUCAGCAUCAUUUCGAAUAGUUUGGGAAGGAUCUCAACCAUCUUGGGAUGAUUUUGACACUCCAAGCACUUCUGCAGGAGUUCAGAGAGGAACUCCCGGAGCUCCACAACCAAGUGUGCUCAGUCGAUUGGGACACGUGGCUUCCACUUCGAGUUUGCGACGAUUCGAAGAUGGGCAAUCUGUUGGUGAUUUAUGCAGUGUAUUCAAUGAUGUACGGGUUUUCAAAAAACGAAUCAAAUUUGUGUGUUUUAUUUCAGGUGAUGAGUGUCAGGUCACUGGCAGAAGGAAGUGACGAUCCGUUGUUGGAUGAUGAAUUUAGAUAUGACGUUAGUUGAUAAUUGAACUGACAAAACAUUUUAAUUUUCUGGUUUUUAGGAAGAAGAUUCUGAUGGGAUAUGGAAGAAAUGUACCGACGACGCUAAAUAUAUGUAUCAAAGUAUUGCGAUUGAAGCCAGUGAAGCAGGCUCUGAAGGUGGUGGAUCGCCGAUUAAACGACAGUUACUUGAACUGUAAGUUUUAGUUAUUUUCUUGGAAAAUUGAGGUAGAUCAAGAAUUUACUAUAAAUAUAUGAAAUGUCUUCCACGAGAAAGUCCUGAUUGCAAUGUUUCGUUUUCCCUAUAAUUUUCGGAAUAAAAUAUUCGUUAACCUCUUAAAACGGAAUAAACAAAAAAAAAAUUUUCCAUUUUUCGGUUUUCUGAAAAAAAAAUGGAAAAAUGGUCGACCACUUAAUUUUUAAUUGCGAAUGAAUAUUUUUGCAGCGGAAUCGACAAUGACGACGAUCGAACCGAAACCCUCUUAUCACCUCCAGAUUCCGAAGGGGCCAUGUCACGAAGUCAGCAUUCAAAAGGACAACGUUCUUCUAUGUAUGAUUCUGCAAUUGGGGCUGAAAUUUCGAGCAGUGAAGAGGGAUCGACGUGUCCUAAAAGGUUUGAUCUCUUAAAUUUGGCUAAAAUGAAGAAAAACAUUUUUACGGAGGCUUUCACAAUAUUCCGACCGUUGAAUAAGAAUUGACACAUGAUUUUUUAUUUAUUUUGUUGCAAAAUAUAGUAAUUUUUCAGUUUCUCAAACUUUUUUGGAAGUUUUCUUAGUCUAUCAAAAAAGUGUUCCUUCGAAUUAAAUGGUUUAAAUACUUUUGAAUAUUUAACACACUAGGGAUUUACAAAAAAGUGGCAAUUACUGAGUUUUUGCCACUUUGUGAAAACUAUAGCACUGUCGCAUGUUCGAAUCCCUAGAGGUUUGAAUAAUAAUUUUUGGAACAUAAGCAGAACAUUUUUCUUGCAAAAACUGAGGUUUUUGCAAUUUUCAAAAAUUCUUAUAAGUUUAAAAUUAAAAAACAAUGUGGUGCCAUCGGCACCAAAUUUAAUUUUAAAAAAUUUAUAAAACUAAUUUUUGUACCCCAAAAAAUGAUGCUCUUGGUGUUAUUAUGAUAAAAACCACGUCAUAUACUAGAUUAGAACUUUUUUCCUGUUUUGAACAAGGCGAAUGAAUAGAAAAGUAGAUCCCCAUCCCGAAUUGGAUUAUGAUUAUGCUGAUUCAUUCUCUUCUUUUUUUGCAGAAAAAAAAGUAAUAACUGCGUCAUGUUUUCCGUUCCAGAAAAUAACAGGAAGAUGACAUUUUUGCAGAAAGAGCUCAAAAGUUGGAAUGAAGCACCGAAAGUUUUUUUUGGAAAUCCCACUAUUGUCUAUUUCAGUGAAUCAGGAGAAUUCGUCACUUGAAAAAUAAUAAUUAUUAUAACAUGAAAAAUCUUAAAAAUCACGCAUAUAAAGGUUUCAGAAUAAAAUUUUUAUAAUCUGAAAAUGUGAAAAUGACAAAUUUUUCAAGUUUCAAACUGUGCACUAUUAGAAACAUCCGAAAAUUUCAAAGCUGAUCAUUAAAAUUGACAUUUUUUCAGAUUAUACGUUCUCCAGGAAUCCGAUAACAUGUCAAUUGUAGCUCCGUCGUGUGCUUCACUGGAAUGGUGUGAUGAUAUUGAUCGUAACGGACCGAGUCGUAUUGGAUUCGAUGAAGAAGGAUCAUCACCACAAAGACUUCGACGAGCAAACCUUGAUUGGGAUCUUGAAUCAGAAGUUGCCGUUCAACGAGCCCUGUCAAUUGCUUCUUCAUCUGUAACGCGGGAAAUUGAGCCAAAGUUUGCUCCGAAAAUGUCGAGAGAUUUGAUGGUGAUGGCUUGUGAAAUUUUUCAGCCAUAUUCACCACCAUUUAGGGUGAGAACUUUCAGAAAAACUUCUUAAGUAUGGGGUUAUUCAUGUGAUGUCUAAAAAUGUAAAGUAAUGUUUUAUUGAAUUAAAACAAAUUUUUUUUGACACAAUUAAAGACAAUGGCCAAAAAUGCAAAAAAAUGAAUACUUUUUUAAAUAGUUUUUUACACACAAAAAUAGCCCUCUUAAAAAUUACGGAUUUGAUUUUUUUUAAAAACCAAUAUCUAUUUUGUAAGUCCAUUUUACCUCGAAAAGGUUUUUUUGCUCGUCUGGUUACUUUCUCCAACUUUGUGCAAAAUGGAAUUCUAAUUAAUUUUAAAUGGUGAAAAUGUGAAUGUGCUUUAAUCGAUUAAAAAAAACAUUCACAAUACAUCAUCAAAAUUGUUGAGAAUUUGAAAAUCCUUCAAGUUUUUUCAAAAAAAAAAAAAAUUACACCAUUUCAAAGUUAUUACAGGACCUCCAAACCAUCUAUCAUAAGCGUCGUCUGAAACGAGUCGCCGUUCCGAGUGUCACCGAAUCAAAUGAAUCAUGUGUUUCUCUAUUCAUGCGAUCGGCUCUUUAUCACAAAUGUUCACUUCUUCGCGACGCCACGUGGUCGAUUAUUGAAAAGG